RNAcentral lists this ribosomal RNA (403 nucleotides) under uncultured bacterium. RNAcentral describes it as "partial 16S ribosomal RNA". It matches the Rfam family "Bacterial small subunit ribosomal RNA", at positions 30 to 526 of the family's 1533-position model. The record is from RNAcentral.
AUUGAACGCUGGCUUCAGGCCUAACACAUGCAAGUCGAGCAAGCGGCGGACGGGUUAGUGCUGUAUGGGGACUUCCCGAUAGAGGGGUAUAACUACUGGAAACGUUGGCUAAUACCGCAUCCUGUCGGAUAUCCCAUAUGGGAUUAGCUAGUAGGUAAGGUAAUGGCUUACCUAGGCGACGAUCCCUAGCUUGUCUGAGAGGAUGAUCAGCGACACUGGGACUGAGACACGGCCCAGACUCCUACGGAGGCAGCAGUGGGGAAUAUUGCACAAUGGGCGCAAGCCUGAUGCAGCCAUGCCGCGUGUAUGAAGAAGGCCCUAGGGUUGUAAAGUACUUUCAGUCGGGAGGCGUUAUCGACAGAAGAAGCACCGGCUAACUCCGUGCCAGCAGCCGCGGUAAUUC